AGGCCAAUAGCUCAGUUGGUAGAGCACUGGUCUCCAAAACCAGGUGUCGGGGGUUCGAGUCCCUCUUGGCCUG
RNAcentral lists this transfer RNA (73 nucleotides) under Nitratifractor salsuginis DSM 16511. It matches the Rfam family "tRNA". Rfam says of the family: Transfer RNA (tRNA) molecules are approximately 80 nucleotides in length. Their secondary structure includes four short double-helical elements and three loops (D, anti-codon, and T loops). Lineage: Bacteria; Pseudomonadati; Campylobacterota; Epsilonproteobacteria; Campylobacterales; Sulfurovaceae. The record is from Rfam by way of RNAcentral.